GAUUACAAAUCAAAGAGUGCCGAACACAUUACACGCGUUUUCAUAAAAAAAAAAAAUUAAAUAUAAUGUAACAUAAUGGUAUGUACUCAGCUGCGUUUCGUGUUGGUUCCCGCGCAUUUGUUUCAGUUCCAUAUGCUAUAUUUGUUAUCCGUGUUAUAUCUCUAUACAUAUAAUGAGUAUUAUACCGCGAUUUGCCUAUACAAAUGCGGGUGAAGCAGUUGUUGAAAAACGCGCGGUGGUAAGAAAAAACGAUACACCGCUUCUCAAGAUCUCGAAAUUAAAAACGGGUUAUUUUAUCGCGUAGGUACGGUUAUUUAAAAAUAAAAGAAAAAAAAGUAAACGCGAGGGGUUUUUUUUUCCCCGACGUGUUGAAAAAUCAAUGCGAAGCGAUCUCACGGGAGUCGUGUGAAAAAAAACAAUAAAUAAUAUUGGAACAUAAUAACACGAAUUUGAAACGCGCCAAAUUUUAUAUUUUAUGUUCAAUGGAUUAAUUUUUUUUUU
Non-coding RNA from Cinara cedri, 501 nucleotides. The record is from the annotation of a GenBank genome assembly. NCBI's taxonomy places the organism in Eukaryota, Metazoa, Arthropoda, Insecta, Hemiptera, Aphididae.